RNAcentral lists this microRNA (22 nucleotides) under Macaca mulatta (Rhesus monkey). RNAcentral describes it as "mml-miR-7179-3p". The record is from miRBase by way of RNAcentral. Lineage: Eukaryota; Metazoa; Chordata; Mammalia; Primates; Cercopithecidae.
UCAGGAACUUUGUCACGUAUGA